Molecule: ribosomal RNA, 253 nt
Filed under: uncultured bacterium
Lineage: Bacteria
Description: partial 16S ribosomal RNA
Rfam family: Bacterial small subunit ribosomal RNA
Source: RNAcentral
UACGUAGGGUGCGAGCGUUGCCCGGAUUUAUUGGGCGUAAAGGGCGCGCAGGCGGCCACGCACGUCCGUUGUGAAAUCGCCCGGCUCAACUGGGCGGGGUCGGCGGAUACGGCGUGGCUGGAGCAAGCUAGGGGGUAGUGGAAUUCCCGGUGUAGUGGUGGAAUGCGUAGAUAUCGGGAGGAACACCAGUGACGAAGGCGGCUACCUGGGGCUUUGCUGACGCUGAGGCGCGAAAGCGUGGGGAGCGAUCCGG